Brienomyrus brachyistius is the source of this 176-nucleotide long non-coding RNA. RefSeq lists it as uncharacterized. The transcript has 3 exons. NCBI's taxonomy places the organism in Eukaryota, Metazoa, Chordata, Actinopteri, Osteoglossiformes, Mormyridae. The record is from RefSeq and is a predicted model, not a curated record.
AGGGAUCUCACUAGUCAGACGACCUGGCCUUUCGGGGUCAGACGUGCCCCGGUACGGUACAGAUCGAUCUCACUAGUCAGACGACCUGGGCUUUCGGGGUCAGACGUGCCCCGGUACGGUACAGAUCGAUCUCACUAGUCAGACGACCUGGGCUUUCGGGGUCAGACGUGCCCCGG